This 373-nucleotide ribosomal RNA is filed under the name uncultured bacterium. RNAcentral's name for it is "bacterial SSU rRNA". It matches the Rfam family "Bacterial small subunit ribosomal RNA", at positions 47 to 416 of the family's 1533-position model. The record is from RNAcentral.
CCUAACACAUGCAAGUCGAACGGUAACAGGAAACAGCUUGCUGUUUCGCUGACGAGUGGCGGACGGGUGAGUAAUGUCUGGGAAACUGCCUGAUGGAGGGGGAUAACUACUGGAAACGGUAGCUAAUAUCGCAUAACGUCGCAAGACCAAAGAGGGGGACCCUCGGGCCUCUUGCCAUCGGAUGUGCCCAGAUGGGAUUAGCCUGUUGGUGGGGUAACGGCUCACCAAGGCGACGAUCCCUAGCUGGUCUGAGAGGAUGACCAGCCACACUGGAACUGAGACACGGUCCAGACUCCUACGGGAGGCAGCAGUGGGGAAUAUUGCACAAUGGGCGCAAGCCUGAUGCAGCCAUGCCGCGUGUAUGAAGAAGGCC